This is a non-coding RNA of Hordeum vulgare subsp. vulgare (domesticated barley), 124 nucleotides long. NCBI's taxonomy places the organism in Eukaryota, Viridiplantae, Streptophyta, Magnoliopsida, Poales, Poaceae. The record is from Rfam.
AAAAUACUCCCUCCGUCCGGAAUUACUUGUCGCACAAAUGGAUAAAAAUGAUGUGUCUAAAACUAAAAUACAUCUAGAUACAUCCAUUCCAAUGACAAGUAUUUCCAGACGGAGGGAGGAAUAG